RNAcentral lists this long non-coding RNA (281 nucleotides) under Eucalyptus grandis. RNAcentral's name for it is "long non-coding RNA (EGRA_LNC002843)". The record is from RNAcentral. Lineage: Eukaryota; Viridiplantae; Streptophyta; Magnoliopsida; Myrtales; Myrtaceae.
AGAGAGAGAGAGAGAGAGAGAGAGAGAGAGAGAGCUGUGCAUCAGUUUUCACCUUCAAGCAAUGAGUGGGGAGUGGAGGACCAUCGCUUCCAAUCUCGCCAAGCCCAGAUCCGGCCUCGUCGGCUUCGGGCGACCUCAGAUCUGGUGUUGCCCACGGCCGCGAAUAGACGGAGCGAGGCUGCCUCGAGGAGAGAGAGUCGGGGACAGAGAUGGUGGCUUGGCCGAGACGGGACGCGAAACGAUCGGCGCAGGCGAUGGCCGGGGGCGGCUCGACGAUGACG